UUCUGACACUCAGAGACUAGGGUGAAGACGCAGCCAGCCCUAGGACAAAGGACGCCUGGGGGCCCCAGAAGCUGGAGGAGCAGCCCCAGGAAACUCACACGCCAGCCGUGGGUGCUUCCUGAGCCUCUGUGGUAAAGCCUCUUCUCUGCAUUUUGCAAAGUUCAAAGCCGGUGUUUAACAGGGUUCUGGACAGUGCCAAACGCUGUGAAAGGUAGAAGAAAUGAGCGGCUACGGUCCCAGGACCCAAGCAACUUACAACUCUAUGGGAGAGACAGACCUGAUUCUUCUACCUUCUCAUUUAAGGCAGUAUGUCUUGUAAUGGUGAUGCCAAGUGCAAAGGCAUAUAGAAAAAGAAGAGGCGAAAGGAGAGGCUUCGGGAGGGCCACAGACUGAACAGGCUGCAUUUUCACUUGAAGGAAAAUCUUCUUUUACAUGAUGUCUCUUCCUACACGCCCACGCUUAAUAUGGCGCCUGAAUAAAUUAAGGGGCUGAAUAAAUGUCUGCUGAAUUAACAAAGGAAUGAAUAAAUGAACAUAUAAAGUGAAGAUAGAAAUAAAAUCAUCUUGGACAAAGGAAAGCUGGGGACAAGAUUUAUAGAGGACCUCGGGUGACAGGCUUGGAAACUUGAAUUCUGUCUUCAGUGUAGUUCUUGAGUGAAGGAGUGAGUUUGUGAUUUUGGAAGAGAAUUCUGCCAGCAGCGUGAAGAGUGCCCUGGAAGAAGGAAGACUUUUAGGCAGGGAAACCAAUUAAGAUACGGGGAGCUUCGCCUCUCCAGAUUGAAAUGAAAUAUUUUAGAUGUAUUUAAGGCCAGAUAACUUUUGCAGAUCUGGCUUCUUGGCCCGAAGUUUUCCCAGAUUGGGAAUGAUGCAAUGGUAUCAGCUGAAGGUCACUGGCUGCCUGCCUGGGCUCAAUUAGGAAACUGUGCCUGUAGGGUAACCUACAUUUUCUGUACCUUUCCAGGCUGGAAACUUUGCCAGAUGGCCCAUGUCAGGAGACUCUGUCGUGCCUGGCAAGGCUGUCUUUUACCCUUUUACCAUCAAAUGAGAAAGCAGUUUCUAGAGACCUGACACGUCCCUAUAACUGACUCAAGUGUAAAGCACAAAUGCCAGGGUGAGUAGGGCCACCAGAGAAUCAGAAGCAAGUACCACCGGGCCUCUCUGGGCACAGCCCAGACACUCGGUUGACGCUGACUCUUAGUAAUGUUCAAAGGGAUCCUUCAGACUCAUCUCCUGUUUCUUCUGCUAUCAUGGGGGAAAGGUUGGGCCCUGCAGGCUGAAAUUUUAGUAAGACUGUCACUUGCCUCCCACUGUCUUUCCUGCAAUGACUCUCCCCUUUAAUCCACACCCCCAAUCCUCUUGGUGUCACCAACUUCUCAUGCUUUCCGUGGGAUGACUCCUAAUACCACACUAAGAGCAAUGGAGAAGAGGUGUCUGGAGGCAUCAGUAACAGUAUCUCCAGCUCAGGUUAAUCCUGUUGAGGAAGAUGUAACAGGCCCCAGUGUCAGCACCCAGGCAGGUGUGAGCAGGCUGUUGAUAUCACAUCCUGACAUCAGACAGAGGCGGCCACGUAGGACAGCAGCUUCAGACUCAGGUUCCCAGUGGGCACUCAGCUGAGCAGCUCUGAGGAACCAGAGUGUCUUGCUGUGGAAGCCAAGACUUGGGAAUCCUUGCUCUCUAUCUCAAGGGUGCCUGAUAAGUGGCCUUUACGCAGCACCCGUCAAGGCUUCCAUCCAUCAAACGAGAGGCAAUGGCAGCUGAGGAGCUUACUAAUAGAAAUGCUUGUGAAGCUAGGGGCUAAGGUGUUUCAGAAUACUCUCAUGAUGAGACUUUAGAGAGAGUCUGUCUGAGGAAGAGAAAGGCUCUGCUGUUGAACACAAGGGCAGCAGCGUUGUCUCCGCGGGAGCACUGCCGUUCCCCCAGCCCCAGCCUUUGCUCUGCUUGUCACACACACACCACUGAAUGCACAAACUCAGCCCCCAGGGAAGUGUGGGUCAAGGAAGGGCAUUGGAUCCUCUUGGCCUUUUCCUCCUACUGCUGGCUGAGGUGGAGGAUACAGUGUGACAAGGGCAGAGAAGCAAGGCGGGAGGAACUUGUGUCCCUGACGAUGAGAAGUGAGACCACCCGCAUCCAUGCAGCUUAACCAGCAAGACUGAGAUCUAAGACCUCCUGUGUCAACAGGACUUACUAUUUGUCUAGGAAAUUCUUGUUCAGGAAGAUACGACUGUAAACCAAUAAACAGCCUCACUGUUUGCUUCAGGAAAUUCAUGAAAAAGAAUUUCUUCUAACAAAAGAUCCUUCUCAGGAUGAGAGAUGGCUCACUGGGGCAAACAGCUGGUUUAUCAAACAACCGUUCACUCAUCAAGAUUUGAAGCUUCAAGCCUUGUGUCCACCAGGCCUAAACUACUACAUCAUAGACUUGGCCCGGUGCUUCUUAGAUCCCAGCCGUGAGAGGCCUGCCUUGGACCCUUGAGCUGAGACCCCCGCAACCCUGAAAUACCCACCUGGCCCUGCCCCUUAUGACACACCAAGAGAGUCUCCGGACUGCCUCUGGUCAAGGCCACGCUCUCCCCUCCUGCAGUUGGCUUCAUCACCUUAGCUUUGGUUCGUUGGCAGGCUGUUCUGGUGGUAUUUGGGGAGUCAGCAGUUGACAGUGAUCAUGGAGGUGCCGUUCCAGCCCUGGACUCUAUUCUCAUGAGAGGGACAUAAACUGCUAUCUUGUCAAGGCAUUUUUAUUUUGAAGUUCUGGUCACUGGCAGCCACACCUGAUCCCGCCACACUUCUCCGCCUCCCCCUCCACGCCGUACUCAUCUUCACACCUCACACAGUGUCUGACACAUAAUAAGAGCCCCCUUGCACAUGUGUUAAAAGGUCAGGGACUGGAUCUUUUUAUUGAACUCUGCAGUAAGCUGCUCAGUAGAGUUUCUUAUAGUUUCUGGACACCUACCCCAAAAAACUGAUUUCAAAACAAUCAAACAGAUCAUGACCGAUACAUCUAAACGAGUGUUGUUUCCUUCAAAGUAUUCACCUGGGGAAUCUGUUCAUGUAUCUUAAGGAUACUGCUAUUGCUUGAGACAUUUUCAAAUACCUCUUUUGUAAUUAUGUCUUGAUUUGCUAUCCUCAGUGGUGACAAACCAUCUUUUUUGUGAAAAACAUUUUAUUAUGGAUAAUUUCAAACAUAUACAAAAGUAGAAUAAUAUUAUGAACAAUUGUCAACUUAGGACCAAUCUUUUUUCAUUUAGGCCCUUACGCCUACCUUUUUUCACCUGGAUUAUUUUGAAGCUAAUCCCAGACAUCACACCAUUUGACCCAAAAGGAUUUAAGCAUGUGUUCCUAAAAGAUAUGGCCUCCUUAAAAAACGUUAACCAUAAUACCAUUAUCCCACCUAAAAAUUCAUAAUAAUUUCUUAAUAUCAUAUGUUCAAUGUUUAAACUUCCCUGUUUCAUAAAAAUUUAUUUGUAAAAAUCAAGAUGAAAAUAAAUUCA
Molecule: long non-coding RNA, 3481 nt
Organism: Equus caballus (horse)
Lineage: Eukaryota; Metazoa; Chordata; Mammalia; Perissodactyla; Equidae
Source: Ensembl